UCAUUCCACUAUAACCAUAAACCCCCUACAAAGCCUAAUGCUUCGAUUCUAAAAGAAUAUUCAAAGCUGGAUAUCGCAAUGACUGGAUCUGCCUUAAGAUCAGUAAUUCGAGUUUCAAAAAAAGCAACAAAAUCUGGAGAAAACUCUGUUCUAUAAUCCUUUAAAAAUUGUUGAACGGGUGCGUCCACACCCACGACAAUUCAAAAAAAAUGAAAAUUGAAAUCCACCAUCAUCAGAUAAAAAUAAAGAAAUAAGCUUUUACCACUGAAAUCAUGCAGCCCCCAUAUCCAUUAGAAAUUCAUUCUCCGAACCUUUAACAUCAACAACAUUCCCCUUCAUUUCCAUUUCUUCCCCAACCUCACGAUUUAGCACUUAUAGAAUAUCUUCUGUUUCCCC
Molecule: long non-coding RNA, 396 nt
Filed under: Gossypium raimondii (Peruvian cotton)
Lineage: Eukaryota; Viridiplantae; Streptophyta; Magnoliopsida; Malvales; Malvaceae
Description: long non-coding RNA (GRAI_LNC006965)
Source: RNAcentral